This 1149-nucleotide ribosomal RNA is filed under the name human gut metagenome. RNAcentral describes it as "bacterial SSU rRNA". It matches the Rfam family "Bacterial small subunit ribosomal RNA", at positions 369 to 1520 of the family's 1533-position model. The record is from RNAcentral.
CAAUGGGGGAAACCCUGACCGAGCAACGCCGCGUGAAGGAAGAAGUAAUUCGUUAUGUAAACUUCUGUCAUAGAGGAAGAACGGUGGAUAUAGGGAAUGAUAUCCAAGUGACGGUACUCUAUAAGAAAGCCACGGCUAACUACGUGCCAGCAGCCGCGGUAAUACGUAGGUGGCGAGCGUUAUCCGGAAUUAUUGGGCGUAAAGAGGGAGCAGGCGGCACUAAGGGUCUGUGGUGAAAGAUCGAAGCUUAACUUCGGUAAGCCAUGGAAACCGUAGAGCUAGAGUGUGUGAGAGGAUCGUGGAAUUCCAUGUGUAGCGGUGAAAUGCGUAGAUAUAUGGAGGAACACCAGUGGCGAAGGCGACGAUCUGGCGCAUAACUGACGCUCAGUCCCGAAAGCGUGGGGAGCAAAUAGGAUUAGAUACCCUAGUAGUCCACGCCGUAAACGAUGAGUACUAAGUGUUGGGUGUCAAAGCUCAGUGCUGCAGUUAACGCAAUAAGUACUCCGCCUGAGUAGUACGUUCGCAAGAAUGAAACUCAAAGGAAUUGACGGGGGCCCGCACAAGCGGUGGAGCAUGUGGUUUAAUUCGAAGCAACGCGAAGAACCUUACCAGGUCUUGACAUCGAUCUAAAGGCUCCAGAGAUGGAGAGAUAGCUAUAGAGAAGACAGGUGGUGCAUGGUUGUCGUCAGCUCGUGUCGUGAGAUGUUGGGUUAAGUCCCGCAACGAGCGCAACCCCUGUUGCCAGUUGCCAGCAUUAAGUUGGGGACUCUGGCGAGACUGCCGGUGACAAGCCGGAGGAAGGCGGGGAUGACGUCAAAUCAUCAUGCCCCUUAUGACCUGGGCUACACACGUGCUACAAUGGACAGAGCAGAGGGAAGCGAAGCCGCGAGGUGGAGCGAAACCCAUAAAACUGUUCUCAGUUCGGACUGCAGUCUGCAACUCGACUGCACGAAGAUGGAAUCGCUAGUAAUCGCGAAUCAGCAUGUCGCGGUGAAUACGUUCUCGGGCCUUGUACACACCGCCCGUCACACCAUGAGAGUCGGUAACACCCGAAGCCGGUGGCCUAACCGCAAGGAAGGAGCUGUCUAAGGUGGGACUGAUGAUUGGGGUGAAGUCGUAACAAGGUAUCCCUACGGGAACGUGGGGAUG